This 535-nucleotide long non-coding RNA is filed under the name Naja naja (Indian cobra). RNAcentral describes it as "lncRNA (ENSNNAG00000006136.1)". Lineage: Eukaryota; Metazoa; Chordata; Lepidosauria; Squamata; Elapidae. The record is from RNAcentral.
GUUUCCAAAGGACCUGAUAGGCCUCUCAUAGUGGCUUCUGAAAACUUGCCACCACUUUGAGCUACCUCCAGGACAGCAGUAGAAAAAGAAGUUGGUCUAUAGGAUGUCCGGUGAAAUUGGAGAAGAAACCCCGGUGGAAGAGCCUGCUUCCUCUGACACGGAGCUUGUUGAACAUGAGAUGGAAGACAUCAACUUGCACACAGUGGAAUCUAUUAGUGAUCUGCACUAUGCCUCCAUCAGAAGUGAGGACACCAAGGCUUCCGAAGGAAACAACCAGUCACAGGCCACUACUCCAGGGCCUCCACAUAAGGCUUCUUUCAAGCAUUUCUCUUUCCCAAAUGAAGAUAACUCAGCCUUUUCCCCAGCCCAGAAUUUCCACCUUCUCUCUGCUUUCACCUGCUGCCCUUGCUUCAGGCCUGCUUGUUGUCCUACUGCCUUCUUUGCUCUCCUUGGACUGCUUGUUAUGACCAGUCUUGGCUUAGCAACACUGGCCGUAUACCUGAGCGGUAAGUCUGGAGCUCAAGAUAGUGUCUAA